Molecule: ribosomal RNA, 352 nt
Filed under: uncultured bacterium
Lineage: Bacteria
Description: bacterial SSU rRNA
Rfam family: Bacterial small subunit ribosomal RNA
Source: RNAcentral
UAUCGAAUAUCCUUAUUGUUGUUAGAGGACAGUAAGGAAAGGAGCUUUGGCUUCGCCUAAGGAUCGGCCCGCGUACUAUUAGCUAGUUGGUGAGGUAACGGCUCACCAAGGCGACGAUAGUUAUCCGGCCUAAGAGGGUGAACGGACACAUUGGGACUGAGAUACGGCCCAGACUCCUACGGGAGGCAGCAGCUAAGAAUAUUCCGCAAUGGAGGAAACUCUGACGGAGCGACGCCGCGUGGAUGAUGAAGGCCGGAAGGUUGUAAAAUCCUUUUAAGCAAGAAGAAUAAACUUUACAGGGAAUGGUAGAGUGGUGACGGUAUUGCUUGAAUAAGCAACGGCUAAUUACGUG